GCUGGGUGUGGUGGCGCACACCUGUAGUCCCAGCUACUUGGGAAGCUGAGGCAGGAGAAUCGCUUGAACCCAGGAGGCAGAGGUUACAGUGAGCUGAGAUGGUGUCACUGCACUCCAGCCUGGGCAACAGAGUAAGACUCUGUCUCAA
This 148-nucleotide non-coding RNA is filed under the name Homo sapiens (human). Lineage: Eukaryota; Metazoa; Chordata; Mammalia; Primates; Hominidae. The record is from Rfam by way of RNAcentral.